This 71-nucleotide transfer RNA is filed under the name Marmota monax (woodchuck). RNAcentral's name for it is "tRNA.Ala". The record is from RNAcentral. Lineage: Eukaryota; Metazoa; Chordata; Mammalia; Rodentia; Sciuridae.
GGGGUUGUGGCUCAGUGGUAGAGUGCUUGCCUAGCAUGUGUGAGGCACUGAGCUCAAACCUCAACACCACA